GCAAGAGAGACAGUGAAGAGACAGGGAAAUAGAUUCAUUCUGGUCCUAUGCGGAAGCCAAGGGGUCAACCUGUGGAGCUCUGUCUCUAGGGAGUACUGCCAUGGCCUUCAAGUGAGGUGAAGAUUACCAGCUUCAAAAGAACACUCCUAAAAUGAUUGGCGUGAUUGGCAUGCUUAUGUUCGGAGCUGAGGAACAGUCUGACCCAGUUUUAAGCUUCCUUUACCCAGAGUGCUUUAAGCAAACACACUGUGAGUGUUCCCUAUGGCCUAACUCAUCCAUCAUGGUGGCACCGUCAGCUGUACCACGCUUCUCCAGUUCCAGAACUUGCUCUGCUACCAGUUCCCAAUUCCCAUUCAACACUCAGGAACAUCUCUAACCCCAAGGGAAUGCGCUUGGCUUCAGGAGCACGAGAAGAAUGAUCUACAGCAUCUGAUAAAGUGGCUCCUGAGUAAUUCACCGUCUAAAAGCCACUUACAGCUAAGCUGUUUACAACGGAAAAGUUGUUUGCUUCCACUCUGCAAUAAAACAACCAAAGAAUC
This is a non-coding RNA of Myodes glareolus (Bank vole), 539 nucleotides long. Lineage: Eukaryota; Metazoa; Chordata; Mammalia; Rodentia; Cricetidae. The record is from RefSeq and is a predicted model, not a curated record.